CUGCAUUCAUCUCCCUCCUAUUGGUAAUCCUCUUCGUCCUCCUCCUCCACAUCUACGCCAAAUGGUACCUCUCCCGCCGCAUGAGGACCACCACUGUCAUCACCUCCUCCCUCACCCUCCAGCCUUCUUCUUCCUCCUCCUCCUCCUCCGUGAUCAACUACCAUUACCAUUUCCGGACCCAUUCCGACUCAGAACAACAACAGCAGGCUGAUCAGACCAGUGCUGCUGGCCUCCAUCCUUCUGUCAUUGCAUCGAUCCCGCUCUUCGUUUACAUCAACAGCCGUCGUCCUAGCAAUGGAGGUAGUGAAAUUAGUUGGCUGCCGGACGGUGAGGAGAGCAAGAAUAAGACGGGUGGUGUUGUGGUGCAGCGGCAUCACCAUCAUCAUAAUCAGUGUGUGAUUUGCUUGAGUGGGUUUGGGGAUGGUGAA
This 428-nucleotide long non-coding RNA is filed under the name Linum usitatissimum (flax). RNAcentral's name for it is "long non-coding RNA (LUSI_LNC001534)". The record is from RNAcentral. Lineage: Eukaryota; Viridiplantae; Streptophyta; Magnoliopsida; Malpighiales; Linaceae.